UCCAGGAGGUGGACAUCAUUACCCACCCGCUCCUGGAGGUUACCCACCCGCUGGAUACCCUCCUCAACAAGGGUAUCCUCCAGCUGGAGGCUAUCCACCUGGUGCUUAUCCUCCUGGACCUGGAGGUUAUCCUCCUGCUCCGGGUCACGGUGGCUAUCCUCCUGCAGGCUAUCCUGCUCCUCACCACUCAGGUAAGAAAAAAACAAACAGUAUCCCUGUUGAAGUGCUCUCCUUUAUUGUUUGUAUAGCACGCUUUUCAAAUGCUGUGUCAAGUUUGGAAGGCUUAAUAAUUGGUGAGAUAGUUUAUAAAAUGUUGAUGUUUGAAUAGGCUACUGCAAAGGGUUGUCCUUGUAGUUUGCUAGAUCACCGACCUGUUACGUUUGAAUGGUAUCAGGAACCAUAGCUUGUAACAACCUUUAUUUUGUUUUGUUUCAUCAGGAC
This 441-nucleotide long non-coding RNA is filed under the name Brassica napus (rape). Its description in RNAcentral is "long non-coding RNA (BNAP_LNC006882)". The record is from RNAcentral. Lineage: Eukaryota; Viridiplantae; Streptophyta; Magnoliopsida; Brassicales; Brassicaceae.